AACGCGAAGAACCUUACCAGGUCUUGACAUCCCGAUGCUAUUUCUAGAGAUAGAAAGUUACUUCGGUACAUCGGUGACAGGUGGUGCAUGGUUGUCGUCAGCUCGUGUCGUGAGAUGUUGGGUUAAGUCCCGCAACGAGCGCAACCCCUAUUGUUAGUUGCCAUCAUUCAGUUGGGCACUCUAGCGAGACUGCCGGUAAUAAACCGGAGGAAGUGGGGAUGACGUCAAAUCAUUAUGCCCCUUAUGACCUGGGCUACACACGUGCUACAAUGGUUGGUACAACGAGUUGCGAGUCGGUGACGGCGAGCUAAUCUCUUAAAGCCAAUCUCAGUUCGGAUUGUAGGCUGCAACUCGCCUACAUGAAGUCGGAAUCGCUAGUAAUCGCGGAUCAGCACGCCGCGGUGAAUACGUUCCCGGGCCUU
Molecule: ribosomal RNA, 422 nt
Filed under: uncultured Streptococcus sp.
Lineage: Bacteria; Bacillati; Bacillota; Bacilli; Lactobacillales; Streptococcaceae
Description: bacterial SSU rRNA
Rfam family: Bacterial small subunit ribosomal RNA
Source: RNAcentral